This is a non-coding RNA of Paramuricea clavata, 400 nucleotides long. Lineage: Eukaryota; Metazoa; Cnidaria; Anthozoa; Malacalcyonacea; Plexauridae. The record is from the annotation of a GenBank genome assembly.
UUUGCAGAUAACCGAGUUAUCUGCUAGCAGAUAACUAAAUUUUCUGUAGGUUGCGUGAUUGCGCGAUUUAACUGUAAGCUCUUAGCCAAUCAAAUUGCUUUUACCAAUUACAAUGUAUAAUAAUUGAUGUUAUAUGGAGUGUAUAGAGGGCCUUCAGCCACGUUUUCGCCUUUCAAUCCUCGUGCUCAGUCAGUUUUAUAUAGAAUGCUGGAAAAUCAAAAUUUCAAAAACAUUUGUUGCAAAAUUUAAAUACUGCCAUUGAAAAGGUCUUGAAAAUCUAGUCAAAAAUACAGUAUGUAAGGCCGUUCCGGAGAUAUCAAGCUGCAAAGUUGGUUAAAUUUGAACAAUUACUAUAUUUGUAAAGUUAAAUCUGAUCAUGGCAAGCCUUAUAUAUUUUUUA